AUAGUGACGCAUGUUAAUUUGCAAUUCUGGGAGAUGCAGUCUAAAAUAACAACUACUCCAACCUCUGAAAAGCAGUGGUAACAAUACUAAUGCUCCUCCACCCAGUACAGAUCUUGCUGUCCUUCCUAACCUAUGAGGCCUGAGAUGCUUGCACAUCUUCUCCACCUCUCUGUGCCACCGCCUAAAUGACAACCAAGCCCCCACCCCCUGUGCCCAACCCAGGCAAAAAGGCUCCUUCCCCAAAAGGAUUACUAUGAGGCCGGCUACCACCAAUGAGGAAUCCUUGGCUAAGCAACCUGAUCCAUUCAACUGGAGAGUGGACUGUUCACCAGAAGCAACAACUUUGGCUCCAUGAUAAGAUGUCAGGAUCACCCACACUGAAAGCAAAGACAAGUAUUUAUGGGCAUUUGAGGUCAAUGGAAGACAGGAUCUUAGUAGAGACUUGUGAAUAGUCUGCUACAGUCUAUUUUUGAUCACUGUAGUCCUCCCAAAAUUGGAAAGUUCCUUA
Pogona vitticeps (central bearded dragon) is the source of this 508-nucleotide non-coding RNA. Lineage: Eukaryota; Metazoa; Chordata; Lepidosauria; Squamata; Agamidae. The record is from RefSeq and is a predicted model, not a curated record.